RNAcentral lists this ribosomal RNA (497 nucleotides) under uncultured bacterium. Its description in RNAcentral is "partial 16S ribosomal RNA". It matches the Rfam family "Bacterial small subunit ribosomal RNA", at positions 28 to 507 of the family's 1533-position model. The record is from RNAcentral.
GAUGAACGCUGGCGGCGUGCCUAAUACAUGCAAGUCGAGCGAACAGACGAGGAGCUUGCUCCUCUGACGUUAGCGGCGGACGGGUGAGUAACACGUGGAUAACCUACCUAUAAGACUGGGAUAACUUCGGGAAACCGGAGCUAAUACCGGAUAAUAUAUUGAACCGCAUGGUUCAAUAGCGAAAGACGGUUUUGCUGUCACUUAUAGAUGGAUCCGCGCCGCAUUAGCUAGUUGGUAAGGUAACGGCUUACCAAGGCAACGAUGCGUAGCCGACCUGAGAGGGUGAUCGGCCACACUGGAACUGAGCCACGGUCCAGACUCCUACGGGAGGCAGCAGUAGGGAAUCUUCCGCAAUGGGCGAAAGCCUGACGGAGCAACGCCGCGUGAGUGAUGAAGGUCUUCGGAUCGUAAAACUCUGUUAUUAGGGAAGAACAAGUGUGUAAGUAACUAUGCACGUCUUGACGGUACCUAAUCAGAAAGCCACGGCUAACUACGUG